Molecule: transfer RNA, 71 nt
Filed under: Loxodonta africana (African savanna elephant)
Lineage: Eukaryota; Metazoa; Chordata; Mammalia; Proboscidea; Elephantidae
Rfam family: tRNA
About the family: Transfer RNA (tRNA) molecules are approximately 80 nucleotides in length. Their secondary structure includes four short double-helical elements and three loops (D, anti-codon, and T loops).
Source: Rfam by way of RNAcentral
GUAUUGGUGGUUCAAUGGUAGGAUUCUCACCUUCCAUGUGGGAGACCCAGGUUAGAUUCCCAGCCGAUGGU